GAGGGCUCUGAAAUGGACUGGCCGCGAAGUUGUUAAAAUCAGUGGACGACGGUGUCUCCGCCCGUCGUACAGCUGGAGAUGGCGAUGAAGCCGAAUUAAAAUGGUUACCCGGUGUGAUUCCAUCAUUCUCGACCGCGGAUACGUCUUUACUACAGCAAUGGCCCAUCGUCGGAUAUGGAGGUGGUGCUAAUAGUCUUUGCUUGAUCAAGUGAAUAAAGAAAAAAAAAGUCAGAUCAUCGAACGGCAGAGAAUCUAGCUUAGACAAUUUUACAAUCCAAGUAUUUCUACCAGCGAAAAGAUCAAUAGCCAGUAGAAAGAAGAAUAAGAAGAAGGCAAAGAGAAGAUACGAAAGAAAUAUCGAAAUUGCGGGCUGCUUCGCUAUA
RNAcentral lists this unclassified non-coding RNA (383 nucleotides) under Hevea brasiliensis (rubber tree). Lineage: Eukaryota; Viridiplantae; Streptophyta; Magnoliopsida; Malpighiales; Euphorbiaceae. The record is from RNAcentral.